Molecule: ribosomal RNA, 407 nt
Filed under: uncultured bacterium
Lineage: Bacteria
Description: bacterial SSU rRNA
Rfam family: Bacterial small subunit ribosomal RNA
Source: RNAcentral
UAGGGAAUAUUGCACAAUGGGCGCAAGCCUGAUGCAGCAACGCCGCGUGAGGGACGACGGCCUUCGGGUUGUAAACCUCUUUUGGCAGGGAAGAAGCGAAAGUGACGGUACCUGCAGAAAAAGCACCGGCUAACUACGUGCCAGCAGCCGCGGUGAUACGUAGGGUGCAAGCGUUGUCCGGAAUUAUUGGGCGUAAAGAGCUCGUAGGCGGUUUGUCGCGUCUGCUGUGAAAACCCGAGGCUCAACCUCGGGCCUGCAGUGGGUACGGGCAAACUAGAGUGCGGUAGGGGAGAUUGGAAUUCCUGGUGUAGCGGUGGAAUGCGCAGAUAUCAGGAGGAACACCGAUGGCGAAGGCAGAUCUCUGGGCCGUAACUGACGCUGAGGAGCGAAAGCAUGGGGAGCGAACA